UUAAAUGCUAUGAAGAGGAAUAGUAGGGAUUUGACAAUCCUGCAGAGAGCUGCCGGUUGGUGUAAGGCAGUGGAUCAAAGAUUCUGAACUCACCUUGGAGCAGCCGGAUGAAUGGUAUAUUUGAUAUACAGGUAGUUUUGGACGGGGUCUCGCCGUUACAAGAGAAGGAUAUAAGAGUUACAUCCGUAUCCGUGGAGUGCGUAUAAGAUACAUGAUAUAUCAGUUGAUUAUACGAAUUAGAGUGGUACCGCGUUUAACAGCGCCUCUAGA
This 270-nucleotide non-coding RNA is filed under the name Eubacterium ruminantium. RNAcentral describes it as "T-box sequence". It matches the Rfam family "T-box leader". Rfam says of the family: Uncharged tRNA acts as the effector for transcription antitermination of genes in the T-box leader family. T-boxes are found upstream of many aminoacyl-tRNA synthetase genes and some amino acid biosynthetic genes usually in Gram-positive bacteria. The record is from RNAcentral. Lineage: Bacteria; Bacillati; Bacillota; Clostridia; Eubacteriales; Eubacteriaceae.